GUUUGUUCCUUUGUUUUUUGUGGCUCUGGGGAUGGACCCAGGGACCCUGUGUGGGCGAAGGAGGGAGGCAGCUCUCUGGGGCCCAUAGCAUUUUUCAUCUGUCACAGCAUUUCAUGCUCAUCGUGUUUGAAAGAUUAGAGAGUCAAACAGUCUGUUUGACUAAGAUGGUAGAUCCUGGAUGGUGCAGCGCCAGGAGACAGCUACGGUACGUGUGCUCCCUUUCUGCGCAUGCCCGAUCAGGAGACAGUCAGUUCCCGCCCAGGCCAGGCGGGCCGGGGGCAGGAGUCACCCGGCCCUCCCACACUAUAAAUAAAG
This 315-nucleotide long non-coding RNA is filed under the name Heterocephalus glaber (naked mole-rat). RNAcentral describes it as "lncRNA (ENSHGLG00000039355.1)". Lineage: Eukaryota; Metazoa; Chordata; Mammalia; Rodentia; Bathyergidae. The record is from RNAcentral.